RNAcentral lists this long non-coding RNA (606 nucleotides) under Felis catus (domestic cat). RNAcentral describes it as "lncRNA (ENSFCAG00000053220.1)". The record is from RNAcentral. Lineage: Eukaryota; Metazoa; Chordata; Mammalia; Carnivora; Felidae.
AUGUAUUGUAAGCCUGGUCUCCCAAGUUUAUUAAAAGAGCAGCUUGAUCACAUACCUUCUUUGUGCUCCCCUACAGCAGGAUGCCCAAUCUCUGGCUUGUCAGCCUCCAACCCUGGGACAACUCAAGGGCUUCAUUUCCCUGUCUCUGCCACUCAGAGGAGAGAAGCUCAGACAAUUCUACAGUCACUUCCUGAGUGGCACUAGGAUGAAUUCCAGCAUCUGCCUUCCUGGACCCAGUACCACAUCCCUCUUCCUCUCCAGUGACGACCUUUCAGACUUUUCACCGAAGAGUCUCAGGGGGUUCACUAUACCCAUGACUCCUGAAGACAGCCAUGCUCAGUGAUUCCAAGGUGAUUCCCUGUUCUGCUCUGCGAUGGCCGUGGCUGACAACUUCUUCUUAAAGAGGACUAAAGCAUCCUUUGUCAUCCCUAGUGGGACAUCUCCCUGGUUAAGAAAGCAUCUUGUUAUGUAAGAAACCCAAGAGGGGGAGAGCAGAGGACUCAGUGAUGCUUCAUAGAUUUCUCACUGGGGGGUCAACUUAGAGACUGAUUCAAAGCUGGCAGGAAUAAGAAUAAAUUAAUGGCUUCUGUGGGGAGUGAGUAAGGC